RNAcentral lists this small nucleolar RNA (124 nucleotides) under Meriones unguiculatus (Mongolian gerbil). RNAcentral's name for it is "Small nucleolar RNA SNORA26 (ENSMUGG00000022710.1)". It matches the Rfam family "Small nucleolar RNA SNORA26". Rfam says of the family: The snoRNA HBI-6 belong to the H/ACA family of snoRNAs, guiding the pseudouridylation of position U4522 if the 28S rRNA. The record is from RNAcentral. Lineage: Eukaryota; Metazoa; Chordata; Mammalia; Rodentia; Muridae.
UGCCCCUUUUAAGGUUGGUGCUAUACUUUAGAAAGGCUAACACAGCAGAGUAAAGGAAUUCUCCAUAAAACCCAGGGAGAAGACUAUAUGCCUCCUGUUUGAAUCUUUAUCUGGGUUCAUGGCC